GCGUUCGCGGUUGUAAACGCUCUUUGCGGCCGGGAAGAAAUCGCGAUGGGCCAAUACCCUGUNGCAGGAUGACGGUACCGGCAUAAUAACGCACCGGCUAUACUACGUGCCAGCAGCCGCGGUAAUACGUAGGGUGCGAGCGUUAAUCGGAAUUACUGGGCGUAAAGCGUGCGCAGGCGGUUAUGUAAGACAGGCGUGAAAUCCCCGGGCUCAACCUGGGAACUGCGCUUGUGACUGGAAGGCUAGAGUACGGCAGAGGGGGGUGGAAUUCCACGUGUAGCCGUGAAAUGCGUAGAUAUGUGGAGGAACACCCAUG
RNAcentral lists this ribosomal RNA (316 nucleotides) under uncultured bacterium. RNAcentral describes it as "bacterial SSU rRNA". It matches the Rfam family "Bacterial small subunit ribosomal RNA", at positions 414 to 714 of the family's 1533-position model. The record is from RNAcentral.